GACCGCGUCAAAGCCCACUAUGCACUGCGCACUGACCAGGCCCAGGCCGGACCAUGCUUCAUCCUCACCGCCCCUCCCGUCCCGCCUGCGACAGGCUCAGCACAGCAAACACAGGGACCUGGAAAGUUCUUGGAGCUUCAAUUUAUUUCCCCUCAGAAUUUAGGAGCUUCUCCUUUAAUUAACCCCCAAGCCUUCUUGGCAAGAAAUGAACAAACAGAAUCACAUCAGCAUCUCAUUUCAAUCCGGAGCAGGAAGUAGCAGCUCAGAGCCCCAGGGAGGAAAGGCAGGGAUGGGGAUUUGGAGAGCCCAGCCACCUCUGCUGAUAGGAAAGUGUGGGGGGCAGGGCGGGGCCAGCCCCCAUCAGAGGGUCCUGAGUCAGGAAGUGGGAGCGGGAACACACCUUCCAUCACUCAGUCCCCACAG
Long non-coding RNA from Pipistrellus kuhlii (Kuhl's pipistrelle), 423 nucleotides. RefSeq lists it as uncharacterized. The record is from RefSeq and is a predicted model, not a curated record. Lineage: Eukaryota; Metazoa; Chordata; Mammalia; Chiroptera; Vespertilionidae. The transcript has 3 exons.